GCCUAGUUAGCUUGGUUGGUAGCGCGUCUGCCUUGUAAGCGCUAGGCUGCGGGUUCGAUUCCCGCCCGGGGCG
This 73-nucleotide transfer RNA is filed under the name Diaphorina citri (Asian citrus psyllid). It matches the Rfam family "tRNA". Rfam says of the family: Transfer RNA (tRNA) molecules are approximately 80 nucleotides in length. Their secondary structure includes four short double-helical elements and three loops (D, anti-codon, and T loops). Lineage: Eukaryota; Metazoa; Arthropoda; Insecta; Hemiptera; Psyllidae. The record is from Rfam by way of RNAcentral.